This 498-nucleotide ribosomal RNA is filed under the name uncultured bacterium. RNAcentral's name for it is "partial 16S ribosomal RNA". It matches the Rfam family "Bacterial small subunit ribosomal RNA", at positions 28 to 507 of the family's 1533-position model. The record is from RNAcentral.
GACGAACGCUGGCGGCAUGCCUAACACAUGCAAGUCGAACGGAGAUUAUUUCGGUAAUCUUAGUGGCGAACGGGUGAGUAACGCGUGGGCAACCUGCCCUCUAGAUGGGGACAACAUCCCGAAAGGGGUGCUAAUACCGAAUGUGACAGCAAUCUCGCAUGAGGAUGCUGUGAAAGAUGGCCUCUAUUUAUAAGCUAUCGCUAGAGGAUGGGCCUGCGUCUGAUUAGCUAGUUGGUGGGGUAACGGCCUACCAAGGCGAUGAUCAGUAGCGGGUCUGAGAGGAUGAACGGCCACAUUGGGACUGAGACACGGCCCAGACUCCUACGGGAGGCAGCAGUGGGGAAUCUUCCGCAAUGGGCGAAAGCCUGACGGAGCAAUGCCGCGUGAGUGAUGAAGGAAUUCGUUCCGUAAAGCUCUUUUGUUUAUGACGAAUGUGCAGAUUGUGAAAAAUGAUCUGUAAUGACGGUAGUAAACGAAUAAGCCACGGCUAACUACGUG